ACUCAAAGGAAUUGACGGGGGCCCGCACAAGCGGUGGAGUAUGUGGUUUAAUUCGACGCAACGCGAAGAACCUUACCAACCUUUGACAUGUCCAGUAUGGAUCUAAGAGAUUAGAUUCUUCAGUUCGGCUGGCUGGAACACAGGUGCUGCAUGGCUGUCGUCAGCUCGUGUCGUGAGAUGUUGGGUUAAGUCCCGCAACGAGCGCAACCCUCAUCUUUAGUUGCCACCAGGUAAGGCUGGGCACUCUAAAGAAACCGCCGGUGAUAAGCCGGAGGAAGGCGGGGAUGACGUCAAGUCCUCAUGGCCCUUACAGGUUGGGCUACACACGUACUACAAUGGUGGUGACAGUGGGUUGCGAAGUCGCGAGACGGAGCCAAUCCCCAAAAGCCAUCUCAGUUCAGAUUGCACUCUGCAACUCGAGUGCAUGAAGUUGGAAUCGCUAGUAAUCGCAGAUCAGCACGCUGCGGUGAAUACGUUCCCGGGCCUUGCACACACCGCCCGU
RNAcentral lists this ribosomal RNA (502 nucleotides) under uncultured bacterium. Its description in RNAcentral is "partial 16S ribosomal RNA". It matches the Rfam family "Bacterial small subunit ribosomal RNA", at positions 899 to 1397 of the family's 1533-position model. The record is from RNAcentral.